GCGGGGGUAACUCAGUUGGUAGAGUGUCAGCUUCCCAAGCUGAAGGUCGCGGGUUCGAAUCCCGUCCUCCGCUCCA
This 76-nucleotide transfer RNA is filed under the name Nitrospina sp. RNAcentral describes it as "tRNA-Gly". It matches the Rfam family "tRNA". Rfam says of the family: Transfer RNA (tRNA) molecules are approximately 80 nucleotides in length. Their secondary structure includes four short double-helical elements and three loops (D, anti-codon, and T loops). Further hydrogen bonds mediate the characteristic L-shaped molecular structure. tRNAs have two regions of fundamental functional importance: the anti-codon, which is responsible for specific mRNA codon recognition, and the 3' end, to which the tRNAs corresponding amino acid is attached (by aminoacyl-tRNA synthetases). tRNAs cope with the degeneracy of the genetic code in two manners: having more than one tRNA (with a specific anti-codon) for a particular amino acid; and 'wobble' base-pairing, i.e. permitting non-standard base-pairing at the 3rd anti-codon position. Lineage: Bacteria; Pseudomonadati; Nitrospinota; Nitrospinia; Nitrospinales; Nitrospinaceae. The record is from RNAcentral. RNAcentral also lists the same sequence under 1 other name.